This is a long non-coding RNA of Hydractinia symbiolongicarpus, 709 nucleotides long. RefSeq lists it as uncharacterized. NCBI's taxonomy places the organism in Eukaryota, Metazoa, Cnidaria, Hydrozoa, Anthoathecata, Hydractiniidae. The record is from RefSeq and is a predicted model, not a curated record. The transcript is spliced from 2 exons.
CCGAAGGGGCGCACAUUUAGUGGACCGCGGGUAUAUAGUGUUUCUUUUAUGUAUGGGAGAAGUUUUUUUCUUACUCUCAACUUCGCGGGGGAACUUCGGCUCGAACAUCCAACCUAGGUUUGAUAUAACACAACCUGUGUGUUUGGUACCAUCAAGACAAAAAUAACACUGAUCGAGCAAAACUUAUCUUGUCUCGGUUUCUUUGUUGUCUCUGAAGAUUUGACUGCCAUAAAAAAUAUUAAUCGAGAUUCUUUUGUUAUGUUAAUUUAAAGCUUUGUAAUAUUGUCUCGUUUAAUAUGCUUAAAUGUCACUGCAGCCCACGUGAAUUUAUCUUCAAGAAAAGGUUUGUUUUUCUUUGUCCAAGUUGUUUCGAAACUUGUUAACAAUCAUUUGUUAUGAAACCAUGCACCAUCAGCAUUUUCGAAAAAUCUUCAACGAGAGAAAUUUUUAAGGAUUUUAUUGGUAACUUAACAGAGUAAUAAUUCAUUGAAAUUUAAAUUGUUCAGAAGUUAUUAUAUAUAUUCGAAUCGUGAAGUUCAUACAUAGCAAUCCUGCAUCCUGGAAUUUUCGAGAUCAGUUAUAAAAAAAUCCAGUUAAAGUUUUAACUAUUGUUUUAGAAUAUAUACUAUAUAUAUGUAAAAAAAAAAUUAUUUUUUAUUUAUCAAGUUGUAUUUUACGUUAAUUACAAUAAUAAUUGAGAAUUAGGAUA